CAAAACAUCUGCAAGGUGGAGAAACCACACAUGGAUAUUUGAUAGCUCCUUAUUUAAGGUGACUGUGUUUGUCGUCGUCCUCUGUUGGGAAAUUAUCAAGAAUUUCAAGAUGCCAACAGCAGGACAUUAAACCAAAUGCAGGGUCCUUCCAAAUGUGAGCCUGUGAGCCCACACAUGUUGCACACCCAUGAAGCCAGCCCUGCCUCAAGGCUUUGUGGUCACAUUUUUAAAUGGUGGCCCAGUUAAGGCAACACAAGUCCUUUCAACAGGUGGGCCAUCCAAGGGCCCUAGGAUUCAAGUUAGUCAUUUGUAUGUUUAGAAAAUGAUGGAGGCUUCCAUUUCUAUUAAUAUAUCCAGAUCUCCACCCUCCUGCUUUACGUCAUUUACAUUUUUAAGAGCUUAGGUGUUUUACUAACAGGUUCUAAAAGCAAAUGAUCGGAGUAGAGGUGGAAUUGUCCAUUUUGUCUGUCUGAGAUUUGGAACAGAUUGAAAAGUAAAAAACUUCUAGGAGUUCUUAGGCCCAUUCAGAUACUCACUUGCUGUUCUAGGCAUGACCAUUUUUAUACCAAAGCUGAGCAGAUAGGUUGGGAUGAGGCAGGGCAGGAGGGAAGGAGGGAGUGGCUUAGUUAUUGAGGGAGUACUCUUUGGGAGAGAAGAGAGGCACAAGGAAGAGGAUGUGAGAAAGUGCCAGAUAACUCCGCAUUUGGGGAUCCUUUUUUGUACAUGCAGAGGCUUCUAAGCCAGGCUUUCCAGAAGAAAGAAACUCCUCUGUGUGGAGAGAGAGGGUGAGACAGGAAGUUAGAACUGGAAGCACUGGGAGAGAAUGAAAUCCUAGAAAGGCAAUUAACACUUUCUGACAGCACUGAGCAGAUAGCUAAGGGCUUUCAACUCGCAAGUACAGGGAAUCAAAUGCUAGUACACUGAACCAGAAAGGGGGCGGAGGCAGAAGGAAACCCCUCUCCUCUUUUUCAGAAAGGAGAACUCGGUUAGAAAGAGCAGUGAUGGGUAACAGUAAAAGUUUGGUAAGGAGAAGCCACAUUUGCAUUGUACCUUUAAUUCGUUUAAAUUAUCCACAUUCACCUUGGUUUUAAUUUAUUGUAUAAAUAAUGCUAAUUGUGAGUAGCUAUUUUCACCAUUAAAUUUGACAGAUACGUGCCUGGUUGAUGCAAAUUCUCCAGGGCUCCAAAACUGUUUUUACGCUAUGACCUGAAAGCUAAGAAUUAUUUUUUACAUAUUCGAAGAUUUGAAACAAACAAACAAAAAGCAAAGAAGAAUAUACUGCAGAAACCGUAUGUGGCCUGCAAAGCCAAAAAUAUAUACUAACAGGUCCUUUAUAGAAAAAGUUUGCUGACCCCUAAUCUUUCCCGCAUCAGCCUGGGGUUAUCAACACCUAAGUCAGUUCAGUGCAUGACACUGCUGUCUCUCUGAGUACCAGCCUCUGAGGUCCCAAUUUAAUUCGCCUGGGGUGCAGCCUGGGAAUUGAUUUUUUUUAACCCUCAGGUGGUUCUAGUGGACAUCUGAGGUCAAAAGUAGUUCUAAUACAGUAGUUCCCAAAGUGAGGUCUGGGACCAGCAGCAUCAACAUUGCUUGUUAAACGCAAAAUCCCAGGCCCUACCCCAAACCUGCUGACUCAGUAACUCUUGGGAGGGGUCCAGCAACCUACCAGUGUGCAUUCAGGUGAUUCUGAAGCACGUUCAAGUUUGAGAACACUGCUCUAAGGCUUGGCCUUUCAAACUUAAAGGCCGUGCUCAUGGUUGCUCAUGGCAGGCAAACCUCACGAAUGGGUCAGGUUGAAAGCACGGAAGCUGACGAGGGGGAACCGAAAGGCUUCAGGUCUGAGCUUGGAAAUAACCACAGUUGUUCUCUUACACAUAACUGAGGCCCUGGGAGGUGAAGUGAGCUGCAGGAACCAAAGCUUGGGACAAAAUAACUCCACCAAUGAUAAUAAUGAAUUCCUCCCUAGAAAAUUAUCAUUUAUAAUACUUUUAACAUUGGGCUCUAUUUUUCAUUAUUACAUGUAUAUUUAUCUUUUAAUGUUAGUAUAUUAAUUUACAGAAGGUACCCACUUGGUAAACAAGGAUUUAAACACAACUUUGAACUAUCUUGAAAUAAUUUAAAUAAAUGUUAUACAUGCCUGGGAAGUAGGAAAAUUGGACUGCUGACUUUCACCUCGUAAUUGAUGGGUGAAUUCUGUUCUCCUAACCUCCCCCUAUGGGAGGACAGAUUCCCACAGGGUACUUGGCCCCAGUUUCCUGCCCUCCAGUGAUGUAGCCUGUGGGGCAGUUAUAAGAAUGUAAUAAGAAUUACACUGAAGGCCUACCACGUGCCAGGCACAGUACGAGGUGUUAACAUACAUUAUCUCCUGUAAUCAUUACAACUCUCUAAAGUCAGCGUUAUUAUCCCCAUUUUAUAGUUGUGAAUGUUGAGGCACAGAGAGCUUAAAGACCUUCCCCAAAUCCCAAAACCAAUAAAUGGCAGAGCUGAGAUUCAAACCCAGGGAGGUCUGGCCUCAAAAUAGGCGGGACUGGAGGUAGGGAAGCUUGCCUGUGAUCAGGCGUGAUAUGGCAUUUCAGUUAAUCUACACUAGUUGAGUUUAUGAAUACGCAAAGUGAUCUUUCCCAGCCCUCCCAAGUCUUGCCCAUUUUCCUGGGUUUCCUUGGCAAGAAGUGAGUCCACACCAUACAAAGGUUGGAUUGCUGAUGUGCUCAUCUUAGAAUCCAGGGACCAGAGGCACUUGGAGCAACCAGAGAUCUUCUGUCCAGGUUGUCUAGAAUGCCAUCGCUACCAACAGAGCUGACUGGGUCCUUAAAUUCCUCCUUCACUUUGGAAAUUAGCAGUCAAGGUGGUGUAUAAAUAUUACACAUUAUCAUCCUCGUCAAUAAUAAUGAGGCAGCCUUUCAGAUCUUCGUGUCUCCAAAGCGCUGUGUGCUCAUUAGCUUCUGAUGGCUUAGUAUCGUUAUCCUUGGUUACAGCCACAGACAAUGGGAGCACAAAGGCCAUGACCCCGGGGGGGUAACACUGUAAGUCCACAGUCCUCCCUAGCCUGGAGCACUGGGCUGAGAAUCAGAGAUACGGAUUUGCAUCUCAACUCUUCUCAGACUUGAUCGACUUGAGAAUGGAGAAAUGACAUCCACCCUCUUGGUCUCUUUAGCCAAAAUAUGAGAGUGGGCUGAUUUCUAAGGUUCCUUCUCCAUGUGAGACAGGCAGGCAGCUUUCUAAACCUUGGAAACAAUGGGGCGUGAGUGAUGAUGGUGGUGGUGGUGUGACGAGUACAUGAUGAAGGAGCUGAUUUGGGCACUCUCUAGGGUAUUCUGAUGCCAAGUUGGUUUCUAUAACAUCCUCCCUCAACAACUCAUGGAACUAAAAAUCUUCCUUUUUUUGGAAAGAAUUGGGGUAACAGUGUGGGAGUCGUUGGUUAAUCGCCAUGUGCGUUCAUUAUUUCCUUGCCCAAAAAGGUCAAGCAUCUUUUUACCAGACAAGUAUCUGUGUGCUUGGCUCUCUUGCAAGCAGAAGAUUCUAAUGCUUUCCAAAGGGAUUUCUAAGUCCCUAAAAUACAUGUUUUCACAGACCUGAGAUGGAGAGACAUGGUUUAUUUGUCAGGGAGCUUAGCAACUUCCAAGCUCUUUUCAAUAAAUCACAUCACCUUCGGACUUAAGACCUAACAGAUUUACAUCCAAGUCCCAAAGUGAACAUUGGAAUUCAAAUCUGGAUGCAUCAGUGUUCUCUCCCUCACCCUCAACACAGAUUUAUCAGCCAGAGUGGUGUGGGAGAAGGCAGGCUGGGCCAGGAGUCUGGACACCUGGGCUACCUGGCUUCUAGCUCCAGCUCGGCCUCUAGUAACAUCUCUGGAGCCCACUGGGUUUCUGAGCCUGCACCAGGAAAAUAGUCUACUCUUGGGAGUUGACAGUUCAGGCCUACACAAAAAAAGAAGGGUUCCACAUCAGUGGUUCUUACCCUUUUUGAGUGAGGGAGUCACAAACCCCUUUGGAGAUCUGCUAAAACCUGUGGAACUGCAGCACAUACAUAGUAAAACUCUUCAUACCAUCUCAGGGGCCCCGAAGUUAUAAUUCCCUGCAAGGAAUGGUCUUUUAGUCUCAUUGCUAAGCCAUGGUAUCCUGUUCCAGAGACAAGACAGGCACUAUUUUGAAAGCAAAUGAGAAAUUGUACAAAUCCUUCUGUCUGGGAAAGAAGAUGAGUUUUUAAGUUAUUCGGACAUUGUUUAUUCAAUUCCUGCUGCCAGGAAGGAAAUGUCGCUGCCUUUCCUAUUCCCAGCGGGCAGGUUAUGAAUAUCCUUAAGCAUGAAAUGUCGUGCAUGAGGAAGGCUUUUGUGGGAGAGCUCCUCCUUCCACCCCGCAGUAAACUCUUCUCCAGCCUGGCCCAUCCUGCCAAAGCCACAGAACAUCCAAACUGCCACUAUCCCUUGCUGGGCUGCUGCUGUGUGCUGGGGAGGGGCAGCUGCACAUCCAGCCAGUACUUACUGAAUUCAGGCACCGGCUGGGGCAUCACGGUCACUCUCUCGGGGAUCCUCAGCCUUUGAUCCCCACUGGGCAGAAGACACUGGCUCAGGUAGAUCAGAAGACCUGCCCAAGGUCCUGCAGCUGGCAAGGGUGACAUUAAUUUUCCCUCCAUGUGUGUGACAUCCCAGCCCCUGAAGAAAACACCAGAGAGCCAGGCUCACAUUUAUGUUCACCCACCUCCUGGCACCAGGGAUGGGGAAGGGGACAAAAGCCACACUUCUGCCUGUGCUCAGGAUGGUGUAUGAGCUGCCCUACAGAGGACCUCUCCCUGAAGCUUGUGGGUGUCCUCUGCAGCAUCCAACCAGAGUCAUUUCCCAGUGGCUGCAGCUGUGGACCUGGGGGGUGCUGCUCUGGAGACCCCACCCUAGAAGGGGCAGCAGUGUUAUUGAGGGCCCCCUGUCCUAGGCUCUGAGUCCUCUGCAUCAAGCCUAGUGGAGAGCUCUUGGUUCAGACCAGUCUGAAAGCUGGGAUCAUUGUUGAUCAGGGGCAUGGACGUGCCUCCCACAUCCUCUAGACAGCCUUGAGGAUCCAUGGUCUCUGUGCCUUCCCUUCACCCCUGUACACAGCAGUGAACACUCACCUUGGCCCCUGAGAACAGAGACGCAUGUGGGCCUCCAGCUCCAGUCUGGGUCCUAAACCCAAGCCUGGGAGGCUGCUGGGCCUGCAGUGUUGUCUGCUUCUGCCUGGCUUCCUGGGGGACUGUGGAUGUUGCUGUCAGCCUCAUGGUUACCCAGCCCUCUGGCCUUCUGGAGUUUCUGCAAGGCACCAGCCUCCGGCUACUGGCUGGACCAGCUUGGAUGGACAGCAGAGUGACAGGGAAGACCCCCUUCAGAUGUUUCUGUCCUAGCUCCAGGUCUGAGGAGCAGAGCAGAGCUGAUCUGAAAGGACUCCCAUUGUAAAAUGGUUACAAUGGUAACUUUUAUGUUGUGUGUAUUUUAUCCCAAUAAAAAGAAAGAAAUGGAAAGGGGUUGGGACCAGGUUGGAGGUCAGCAGAAGCUGAAUAUUGUCUAUGAAAUGAAGGGCUUCUCCAUGGUCUUGGAGGCCACCUUCAGUUCUAAAAGUGUCUUGUGAGUCUGUGAUAUGGUCCCAACUCUCCCCACAUUUUAACCAUAAACAAGUGUGGAGUGAUGAUAGGCAAUUGAAGAAUGGAAAAGCUGCUGGCUGCCUGUUGGUCUCCUAGAGUGUCCAAGCAGGAAUUUUGUGGUCCCAGCUUUGGGGUCGGUGGCGGAGGGAGACAGUGGUCAGAGGAGCUUAAAUGAGUGGAGAGGAGCUUAAAUGAGUGGAGAGGGGCUUAACACACCCCUUCAACCAGAGGGGCUCUGCUUUAUCUUUUUGAUAUAUCGAGGCUCUACAUAAAAACUUAUUUGAAAGAAUCUACUAGAACACCAACUUUCUCAUUGUACAGAUAAAGAAACUGAGGCACAGAGGGAGGUGGUGACUUGCUCAAGGUGCUGGCAAGU
RNAcentral lists this long non-coding RNA (5977 nucleotides) under Homo sapiens (human). Its description in RNAcentral is "non-protein coding lnc-CRACR2A-8:2". Lineage: Eukaryota; Metazoa; Chordata; Mammalia; Primates; Hominidae. The record is from RNAcentral.